AUCCUUUUGUAGUUUAUAAAUGUGAAUAUUGGGUGUUCAAACUAUUGUGUAAGAUGUGCCUCCCUCAAAUCUUGUUAUGGCAUCAUUACCUAUAUGACA
Myotis lucifugus (little brown bat) is the source of this 99-nucleotide small nucleolar RNA. Ensembl annotates it as small nucleolar RNA U13. NCBI's taxonomy places the organism in Eukaryota, Metazoa, Chordata, Mammalia, Chiroptera, Vespertilionidae. The record is from Ensembl.